Molecule: ribosomal RNA, 253 nt
Filed under: uncultured bacterium
Lineage: Bacteria
Description: partial 16S ribosomal RNA
Rfam family: Bacterial small subunit ribosomal RNA
Source: RNAcentral
UACGAAGGGGGCUAGCGUUGUUCGGAAUCACUGGGCGUAAAGGGCGCGUAGGCGGCCGUUCAAGUCGGGGGUGAAAGCCUGUGGCUCAACCACAGAAUGGCCUUCGAUACUGGACGGCUCGAGACCGGAAGAGGUCAGUGGAACUGCGAGUGUAGAGGUGAAAUUCGUAGAUAUUCGCAAGAACACCGGUGGCGAAGGCGGCAUCCUGGACCGACAUUGACGCUGAGGCGCGAAAGCCAGGGGAGCAAACGGG